This 601-nucleotide ribosomal RNA is filed under the name Micromonospora sp. I08A-00412. RNAcentral's name for it is "bacterial SSU rRNA". It matches the Rfam family "Bacterial small subunit ribosomal RNA", at positions 81 to 697 of the family's 1533-position model. Lineage: Bacteria; Bacillati; Actinomycetota; Actinomycetes; Micromonosporales; Micromonosporaceae. The record is from RNAcentral.
UUCGGGGUACUCGAGCGGCGAACGGGUGAGUAACACGUGAGCAACCUGCCCCAAGCUUUGGGAUAACCCUCGGAAACGGGGGCUAAUACCGAAUAGGACUUCCGGCCGCAUGGCUGGGGGUGGAAAGUUUUUCGGCUUGGGAUGGGCUCGCGGCCUAUCAGCUUGUUGGUGGGGUGAUGGCCUACCAAGGCGACGACGGGUAGCCGGCCUGAGAGGGCGACCGGCCACACUGGGACUGAGACACGGCCCAGACUCCUACGGGAGGCAGCAGUGGGGAAUAUUGCACAAUGGGCGGAAGCCUGAUGCAGCGACGCCGCGUGAGGGAUGACGGCCUUCGGGUUGUAAACCUCUUUCAGCAGGGACGAAGCGAGAGUGACGGUACCUGCAGAAGAAGCACCGGCCAACUACGUGCCAGCAGCCGCGGUAAGACGUAGGGUGCGAGCGUUGUCCGGAUUUAUUGGGCGUAAAGAGCUCGUAGGCGGCUUGUCGCGUCGACCGUGAAAACUUGGGGCUCAACCCCAAGCCUGCGGUCGAUACGGGCAGGCUAGAGUUCGGUAGGGGAGACUGGAAUUCCUGGUGUAGCGGUGAAAUGCGCAGAUAU